GUAAAACCCUCUCAGUCCCCUGACUGCUGCAGCCCUCCCCACCCCUGUCCACACAGUGUUAGGGACAGGCUAUCUUAGAAAACCCCCUCUGCUCAAGCUAACCUUACAUUUUGGUGCUGAAACCCAGGAUGGGGUAGGCUCUGACUGGGUGCCCUUAAAGGGCGCUCUCUCUCUUUUUCUCUCCGUCUAUCCUUCCCUCCCUCUUCUAUCACUUCUCUCCCAGCCUUCCUCCCCUUCCUGAACCUGCUGAAGACCUGGAGGAUCUCCCAGACUCUCCCAUUGCUGGUGACCUCAUCCACCAUCAGAGACUUGGCCGGGCUCCUCCGCCUAGCCACCGAGGACUGCUGAGGCCCAGGGCGCUGCUGCCUCUGCCAGCACUGCGUGGGAGCACAGUGUGGGAGCACAGCGUAACUCUACUCAUAGCAGGAGCCAACCCUCGGUGUCUUCUUCUGCUUCCGUUCUCUUGUGCCCCUCAGUGGAAGCUCCCAGAUGGACACUCGGACACAGAGGGUCCAGGGAGACCCGUGGAUCUGCCGCUGUGUGGGUGGACCAAGCUCUGGCCUCCAUUGGAAGACUCUGUCCAGUGCCACAUCCUCCCUGGGUUCCAGUCCUCACCUGCCAGGUGGACAAUUAGGCAAUUUGAUUUACUAAGGAGAAGACAAAGCAAAGGAAAGAGAAAAGGAGAAAUACUUCAAGAAAAAAAAAAAGACUUUGUGAAAAAGAAAAAGUGAAAUCAUAGGAAAUAUAGAAAACAAAAAUCCAAAUCAGGAGAGAGAAAUAAAGAAUUCUGGGAUGAUGAGCCGGGCUCGAGGAAGCCUCCACCUCCUGACUCCAGAAGUCUGGGCCAAGUGGACUCCUUACUAUGAAGGGAGGUGUCUCUAUGGAGGCCCGAUGAUGUCUCAAGAACGGGUGGGCAGGCAGAGAAGGGGGCCGGGGCGGAGUGCUAUCACAGGUUAAGCUUUUAGGUACUGGUUACCCAGGAAGUCUCAUUCAUUCUGGAAUAAUUUUGGAAUUUUAGACACGCUCGAGAAUCAGCUGUGUACUGUUUAUCUUGCUGUACCAUGUGGUCCAGAUUUCAGAUCCCAGAGCCCUUAGGCAAGCCUAGAACUGUCCCCACAAUCUCUGGGUGACAGCUGCCCCAACCAUAGCUGUCCAACCUACAGGAGCAACUAAAGGUGGGGAUUCUCAGCCAGGGAGGAGGUGCAGUAGGGUGGGGAACCUGCAGCAUGGAUAGAUACCACCUCCAUCCACUCUGUCAGGACAGCCUGACUGAGGCCCACGGAUCUAGAUUGGGCUCUUAGCAUCUAUCACCAGGCCUUUGUUGUUGUAAGGAGCACAAUAAUAAUAAUUAAAAAAAAUAUAUAUAUAUAUAUUAGUUUGGCCAGGCACGGUGGCUCACGCCUGUUAUCCCAGUGCUUCAGGAGGCCAAGGUGAGCAGAUCACUUGAGGCCAGGAGUUCGAGACCAGCCUGGCCAACACGGUGAAACCCCGUCUCUACCAAAAAUACAAAAAUUAACUGGGUAUAGAGAUGGAGGCCUGUAAUCCCAGCUAUUCAGGAGGCUGAGGCACAUAAAUCCCUUGAAACUGGGAGGUGGAGGUUGCAAUGAGCCAAGAUCGUGUCACUGCAUUCUAGCCUGGACGACAGUGGAACUCUGUCUCAAAAAAAAAAAAAAUUAGCCAGGUGUGAUGGCAUAGGACCAUAGUUCCAGCUACUUGGAAGGCUGAGGCAUAAGAAUCACUUGAACCCGGGAGGCAGAGGUUGCAGUGAGCCAAGAUCUUGCCACUGCACUCUAGCCUGGAUAACAGAUCAGGAUUCUAUCUCAAAAAAUAAAUGAAUAGGCCAGGCACAGUGGCUCAUGCCUGCAGUCUAAGCACUUUGGAAGGCUGAGGCGGGUGGAUCAUGACGUUGGGAGUUCAAGACCAGCAUGGCCAAGACGGUGAAACCCUGUCUCUACUAAAAAUACAAAAAUUAGCCAGCACGGUGACAGACACCUGUAAUCCCAGCUAUUCGGGAGGCUGAGGCAGGAGAAUUGCUUGAACCCGGGGGGAUGGAGGUUGCCGUGAGUCACGAUCACGUGCCACUGCACUCCAGACUGGGUGACAGACUCUGUCUCAAAAAUAAAUAAAUGAAUAAAGAUAAAAAUAAGUAAAAACCUCAUUUGAGCCAGGCAUAGUGGCUCAUGCCUGUAAUCCCAGUACUUUGGGAGGCUCAGACAGGAGGAUCACUUGAAGGCAGGAGUUCGAGACCAUCCUGAGCAACAUAGUGACAUUCUGUCUCAAUAAAUAAAAAGUAAAUAAAUGAAAUUCCUUUGAGGAUCACAAACAACAUGAGCUAUUUAUAAUUCUGGAAAUAGCCCAGAUACCAAGUGGCCCUAUCCCCUCAAAGGAUUUCAGGACAGCUCCCACCUUCUUAGAGGGAUGUGGAAGGAGAGCCAAGCCUGGGCACAUAGCUUCUGUGCCCUCAGCCAGUGUCAGCUCACGGAGGUCCAGCCUCCAUCCCAAGGGUCACAUAAACAUCCCUCCUCUUCCCUGAGAAGCAAGAACACAGAGAACAUCUACAUCAUAAGGAGGAGCUUUAGAGUUUUGUACCAGCUUCACUUCAUUUCUUCUGUUGUUCAUUCAUUCAUCUAACAGACAUUUAUUGAAAUCCUAGGGGGUGGGGACCCAGAACCGAACUCUUCUGGUCCUGGCCCUGAGGGGCCCCUGCCUGGACGGCUUGAACAUGGGAUGGCCAGGCCUACCUCCCACAGCCCCAGUUUCCCCUCUGGGAGGUGGGCAGUGCUCACUUGGAAAAGUGCCUGCAGAGCAGUUUCGUCCCUUUGUGAAUGAGCUUCCGCAAGCACAGGGAUGAGUCACAGCCUUGGUGACACAGAACACAUGACUUCAAAUUGCCCAGAAGUAUGACUGGUGCCCUGGCCUGUGCUUCCCCACCCCAAGGGGCCCACCCCAAGGGAUCAUCCAAAGAUGACCUUUCUUGUUUUCCAAAGGCCUGCUGUCUGCUGUGGCCUUUCAAGGGCCUGUAUAUCCAUGGUGAAUUCCUGGAAGGCAGCUUGAAAUAAACACUGAAUGGGUUUGAUUUCUCUUUUUUUUUAAAAUUAUCUAAGCAAACACCUUUCUCCAAAAAGAGCAAAUUCACCUGCGGCUCUCCUGUGGGAAGCUGGAAAAUGUUCUUCCUUGGGAGUAGAAGAUGGGGAGAGCGGGCCCAGCUCCAAUAGCUUGCUGGUGCCACGGAGGUUGCUGAGCCUGGAGGCUCCCGACUUGCUCCAGAGCUGGCGAAGGGUCUGUCUCAGUCACAGUUCUCCCCAGUGAUGACCCAGAACCGCUCUCAGUUCCUGACGUGUUCUGGGUCCAGUGUGACCCACAGUCUGCCUAGCCCAUUGCCUCGGCGGGUGCACCUCUCC
RNAcentral lists this long non-coding RNA (3401 nucleotides) under Callithrix jacchus (white-tufted-ear marmoset). Its description in RNAcentral is "lncRNA (ENSCJAG00000072912.1)". Lineage: Eukaryota; Metazoa; Chordata; Mammalia; Primates; Cebidae. The record is from RNAcentral.